UUAAGCGACUAAGCGUACACGGUGGAUGCCCUGGCAGUCAGAGGCGAUGAAGGACGUGCUAAUCUGCGAAAAGCGUCGGUAAGGUGAUAUGAACCGUUACAGCCGGCGAUGUCCGAAUGGGGAAACCCAGUGCAAUUCGUUGCACUAUCGUUAACUGAAUACAUAGGUUAACGAGGCGAACCGGGGGAACUGAAACAUCUAAGUACCCCGAGGAAAAGAAAUCAACCGAGAUUCCCCCAGUAGCGGCGAGCGAACGGGGAGCAGCCCAGAGUCUGAAUCAGCUUGUGUGUUAGUGGAACGGUCUGGAAAGUCCGACGGUACAGGGUGAUAGUCCCGUACACCAAAAUGCACAGGCUGUGAACUCGAAGAGUAGGGCGGGACACGUGGUAUCCUGUCUGAAUAUGGGGGGACCAUCCUCCAAGGCUAAAUACUCCUGACUGACCGAUAGUGAACCAGUACCGUGAGGGAAAGGCGAAAAGAACCCCGGCGAGGGGAGUGAAAAAGAACCUGAAACCGUGUACGUACAAGCAGUGGGAGCACCUUCGGGUGUGACUGCGUACCUUUUGUAUAAUGGGUCAGCGACUUAUAUUCUGUAGCAAGGUUAACCGUAUAGGGGAGCCGCAGGGAAACCGAGUCUUAACUGGGCGUUAAGUUGCAGGGUAUAGACCCGAAACCCGGUGAUCUAGCCAUGGGCAGGUUGAAGGUUGGGUAACACUAACUGGAGGACCGAACCGACUAAUGUUGAAAAAUUAGCGGAUGACUUGUGGCUGGGGGUGAAAGGCCAAUCAAACCGGGAGAUAGCUGGUUCUCCCCGAAAGCUAUUUAGGUAGCGCCUCGUGAAUUCAUCUUCGGGGGUAGAGCACUGUUUCGGCUAGGGGGUCAUCCCGACUUACCAACCCGAUGCAAACUACGAAUACCGAAGAAUGUUAUCACGGGAGACACACGGCGGGUGCUAACGUCCGUCGUGAAGAGGGAAACAACCCAGACCGCCAGCUAAGGUCCCAAAGUCAUGGUUAAGUGGGAAACGAUGUGGGAAGGCACAGACAGCCAGGAUGUUGGCUUAGAAGCAGCCAUCAUUUAAAGAAAGCGUAAUAGCUCACUGGUCGAGUCGGCCUGCGCGGAAGAUGUAACGGGGCUAAACCAUGCACCGAAGCUGCGGCAGCGACACUAUGUGUUGUUGGGUAGGGGAGCGUUCUGUAAGCCUGCGAAGGUGACCUGUGAGGGUUGCUGGAGGUAUCAGAAGUGCGAAUGCUGACAUAAGUAACGAUAAAGCGGGUGAAAAGCCCGCUCGCCGGAAGACCAAGGGUUCCUGUCCAACGUUAAUCGGGGCAGGGUGAGUCGACCCCUAAGGCGAGGCCGAAAGGCGUAGUCGAUGGGAAACAGGUUAAUAUUCCUGUACUUGGUGUUACUGCGAAGGGGGGACGGAGAAGGCUAUGUUAGCCGGGCGACGGUUGUCCCGGUUUAAGCAUGUAGGCUGAUUGUCCAGGCAAAUCCGGAUAAUCAAGGCUGAGGUGUGAUGACGAGGCACUACGGUGCUGAAGUAACAAAUGCCCUGCUUCCAGGAAAAGCCUCUAAGCAUCAGGUAACAUUAAAUCGUACCCCAAACCGACACAGGUGGUCAGGUAGAGAAUACCAAGGCGCUUGAGAGAACUCGGGUGAAGGAACUAGGCAAAAUGGUGCCGUAACUUCGGGAGAAGGCACGCUGGUGUGUAGGUGAAGUCCCUGCGGAUGGAGCUGAGACCAGUCGAAGAUACCAGCUGGCUGCAACUGUUUAUUAAAAACACAGCACUGUGCAAACACGAAAGUGGACGUAUACGGUGUGACGCCUGCCCGGUGCCGGAAGGUUAAUUGAUGGGGUUAUCCGUAAGGAGAAGCUCUUGAUCGAAGCCCCGGUAAACGGCGGCCGUAACUAUAACGGUCCUAAGGUAGCGAAAUUCCUUGUCGGGUAAGUUCCGACCUGCACGAAUGGCGUAAUGAUGGCCAGGCUGUCUCCACCCGAGACUCAGUGAAAUUGAACUCGCUGUGAAGAUGCAGUGUACCCGCGGCAAGACGGAAAGACCCCGUGAACCUUUACUAUAGCUUGACACUGAACAUUGAGCCUUGAUGUGUAGGAUAGGUGGGAGGCUUUGAAGCGUGGACGCCAGUCUGCGUGGAGCCAACCUUGAAAUACCACCCUUUAAUGUUUGAUGUUCUAACGUUGGCCCCUUACCGGGGUUGCGGACAGUGUCUGGUGGGUAGUUUGACUGGGGCGGUCUCCUCCCAAAGCGUAACGGAGGAGCACGAAGGUUAGCUAAUCCUGGUCGGACAUCAGGAGGUUAGUGCAAUGGCAUAAGCUAGCUUGACUGCGAGCGUGACGGCGCGAGCAGGUGCGAAAGCAGGUCAUAGUGAUCCGGUGGUUCUGAAUGGAAGGGCCAUCGCUCAACGGAUAAAAGGUACUCCGGGGAUAACAGGCUGAUACCGCCCAAGAGUUCAUAUCGACGGCGGUGUUUGGCACCUCGAUGUCGGCUCAUCACAUCCUGGGGCUGAAGUAGGUCCCAAGGGUAUGGCUGUUCGCCAUUUAAAGUGGUACGCGAGCUGGGUUUAGAACGUCGUGAGACAGUUCGGUCCCUAUCUGCCGUGGGCGCUGGAGAAUUGAGGGGGGCUGCUCCUAGUACGAGAGGACCGGAGUGGACGCAUCACUGGUGUUCGGGUUGUCAUGCCAAUGGCACUGCCCGGUAGCUAAAUGCGGAAGAGAUAAGUGCUGAAAGCAUCUAAGCACGAAACUUGCCCCGAGAUGAGUUCUCCCUGAGACUUUAAGUCUCCUGAAGGAACGUUGAAGACGACGACGUUGAUAGGCCGGGUGUGUAAGCGCAGCGAUGCGUUGAGCUAACCGGUACUAAUGAACCGUGAGGCUUAACCUU
RNAcentral lists this ribosomal RNA (2900 nucleotides) under Klebsiella pneumoniae. Its description in RNAcentral is "bacterial LSU rRNA". It matches the Rfam family "Bacterial large subunit ribosomal RNA". Lineage: Bacteria; Pseudomonadati; Pseudomonadota; Gammaproteobacteria; Enterobacterales; Enterobacteriaceae. The record is from RNAcentral.